AUGGUCACCAUGUCUUUCCUCGACGUCUCUGGCGCCAACGGGAAGUACCACCUCGACCUGUCCGGUCACGACCUCUCCGCCGUCGGCGCCGACAUCAAGCACUGCCAGUCCAAGGGCGUCCCCGUCUCCCUCUCCAUCGGCGGCUACGGCACCGGCUACUCGCUCCCGUCCAACCGCUCCGCGCUCGACCUCUUCGACCACCUCUGGAACUCCUACUUCGGCGGGUCCAAGCCGGGCGUCCGCCGCCCCUUCGGUGACGCGUGGCUCGACGGCGUCGACCUCUUCCUGGAGCACGGCACGCCGGCGGACCGCUACGACGUGCUGGCGCUCGCAACAUCCGCGGCGGCCCGGGGAAGCCGCUGCACCUGA
RNAcentral lists this ribosomal RNA (369 nucleotides) under Triticum aestivum (bread wheat). RNAcentral describes it as "partial small subunit ribosomal RNA". Lineage: Eukaryota; Viridiplantae; Streptophyta; Magnoliopsida; Poales; Poaceae. The record is from RNAcentral.